Molecule: ribosomal RNA, 373 nt
Filed under: uncultured organism
Description: bacterial SSU rRNA
Rfam family: Bacterial small subunit ribosomal RNA
Source: RNAcentral
CAGAGGGUGCGAGCGUUGUUCGGAAUUACUGGGCGUAAAGCGCGCGCAGGCGGCCCUUUAAGUCUGUCGGUCAAAUGCCGGGGCUCAACCCCGGGCGUGCCGAGGAUACUGGAGGGCUGGAGACACGUAGAGGCAAGCGGAAUUCCGGGUGUAGCGGUGGAAUGCGUAGAGAUCCGGAGGAACACCGGAGGCGAAGGCGGCUUGCUGGGCGUGAUCUGACGCUGAGGCGCGAAAGCGUGGGGAGCGAACAGGAUUAGAUACCCUGGUAGUCCACGCCGUAAACGAUGGGCACUAGACGCUGGUGGGAUCGACCCCUUCGGUGUCGCAGCUAACGCGAUAAGUGCCCCGCCUGGGGAGUACGGCCGCAAGGCUG